GACGAACGCUGGCGGCGUGCUUAACACAUGCAAGUCGAACGGACAGGCCCUGCUUUUGUGGGGUGCUCGAGUGGCGAACGGGUGAGUAACACGUGAGUAACCUGCCCUUGACUUUGGGAUAACUUCAGGAAACUGGGGCUCAUACCGCAUAGGAGCUCCUGCUGCAUGGUGGGGGUUGGAGAGUUUCGGCGGUUGGGGAUGGACUCGCGGGUUAUCCGCUUGUUGGUGGGGUAGUGGCUUACCAAGGCUAUGACGGGUAGCCGGCCUGAGAGGCUGACCGGCGACAAUGGGACUAAGAGAGGGCGCAGACGGGUACGGGAGGCAGCAGGGGGGAAUAUUGCACAAUGGGCGGAAGCGUGAUGCAGCAACGCCGCGUGCGGGAUGACGGCUUUCGGGUUGUAAACCGCUUUCGCAUGUGACGAAGCGUGAGUGACGGUAAUGGGUAAAGAAGCACCGGCUAACUACGUG
RNAcentral lists this ribosomal RNA (468 nucleotides) under uncultured bacterium. Its description in RNAcentral is "partial 16S ribosomal RNA". It matches the Rfam family "Bacterial small subunit ribosomal RNA", at positions 28 to 507 of the family's 1533-position model. The record is from RNAcentral.